Sycon ciliatum is the source of this 153-nucleotide long non-coding RNA. RefSeq lists it as uncharacterized. NCBI's taxonomy places the organism in Eukaryota, Metazoa, Porifera, Calcarea, Leucosolenida, Sycettidae. The transcript is spliced from 3 exons. The record is from RefSeq and is a predicted model, not a curated record.
GACGCCGUGACGGGGAGGAGAACGGCAGAAGUGGACGCAGACAAACGAGGAGGAAUCAGGACGAGCGAGCAAUGGCAGGACUGACGAAAAACAUUGCUGCGAAGACGUCCCCUCUAGACGACGGUAUAUCAUCCUGUGACGACCACAUUGAAG